RNAcentral lists this unclassified non-coding RNA (493 nucleotides) under Hevea brasiliensis (rubber tree). Lineage: Eukaryota; Viridiplantae; Streptophyta; Magnoliopsida; Malpighiales; Euphorbiaceae. The record is from RNAcentral.
CUUCGGUUCCAUGGUUUUGUUGCUGCUGCUGGUGUUGCAUCAAAGCUACAAGAUGUAUCUGCAAAGCAUUGUAAUUGUUGGUUACUUGACUAAGCAUGUCUCUGAACCUUUGAUUUUCUGCAUUCAUUCUUUGGAGCUCAACUUGCAAUUGCGCUAACUCACUUCUGGAUUUAUCAUCGACGUCCGAUGAUACCCCAUCAUCCACCGUGGAUUGAUCACUUGCAGUAUUAGCAGUGAGAAGGUGCAAACCAGUAUUUACAUCAAGGCUUGACCUUGGAGAAUUCUCCUUCUUGACAGCGACACAUGCGGCUUUGGAAUCAUGAUCAUCGCCGUGAAUGCAAUUAUCGGCAACAGCUCUAUUCUUCUUAUCUGAAAAGAAGUCGAUUUCACCAACAAGCACACGGUGGUCGUCUGCGGGAGAUGGUUUUGCCUGGUCAUCCAGGCGGGAAAGGUUGACAGGGAAGGGAAACAUCCGAAGAGAUUGAGCAGGAAU